Molecule: long non-coding RNA, 703 nt
Organism: Crotalus tigris (Tiger rattlesnake)
Lineage: Eukaryota; Metazoa; Chordata; Lepidosauria; Squamata; Viperidae
Exons: 2
Source: RefSeq, a predicted model, not a curated record
AGCAAAGGAGCAAGAAGUACAACUCUGCCUGGUAUAAUGGGACUUCACCUCUUUCAGCUCUUUCUCCUAGUAACAGAUUUAACUAUUGCUUCAACCCUUUCCUGUAUCUUUUAUGUACUUGCCUGCUUUUGCCUUGCAAGUGUCAUUAGCUUUGUCGUCUUCCUGUCCUCCUUUGGAGUCAUUCAGGAAAUGAAGAAAAACAUUGACCAGAAGGGGAAAGCAAUUAGGAUCUUAGUUUCUGCGAGUGCUAUUGGAGGGAAGCUCCUGAGAAAACGACGCAAGAAAUGUCUGGAAUGAUGAAGAACCCUUCAGUCGAGAUAUGGGAAGAGGAGACAGAAUUGUCAAAAGGGCCUUGUGAACAUAAGAAUAACUUUUUAACACCCAGUGAAGGAGAGCUGAGAAAUUUAUAGAUAAUCUUCUGUUCUGUAGUGGGUUGGAUUGUAUAUACUUGCAUUAGCAUUUUAUCCCUGUAAACAUUUGCAGUUCAAUUCCCAGUGAAUACGCGUAAGGACUACAGUUUGAUUUGUUUAACUUUUGUAUACAGGAAUACAAGGAAUGGAUAUCACCUGAUUUAAGUCAGCGUAUAGAAGUCUAGGGAGUUGGCACGCUAAAGUUGGCACCUGAAGGAAGGGUACAUGAUAUUUAAAUUUAUUUAAAUGUGAGAAGGCUGGAAUUCAGGAAUAAAAAAUCACAGUUAAUGGGA